RNAcentral lists this non-coding RNA (103 nucleotides) under Plasmodium falciparum 3D7. The record is from RNAcentral. Lineage: Eukaryota; Apicomplexa; Aconoidasida; Haemosporida; Plasmodiidae.
UCUUUUCUAAAACAAGAUGAGAAUCCAGCGUAUUUGAGUGGUAACCUUUUUGAUUCUAUAGUUUCAUCUUUAUGUAAAGCACAUAAUGGUUGUUCUGAGGUAG